GAUUAACGCUGGCGGCGUGCAUAACACAUGCAAGUCGAACGAUGAAACUUAGUCUACUUCUUCGGAAAGACACUAAGCGGGUUAGUGGCGAACGGGUGAGUAACGCGUGAGUAAGCUGCCUUACACAAGGAGAUAGCCUUUGGACACGAAGAAUAAUACCCUAUAAAACUAUAAAAGCACAUGCUAGAAUGGUAAAAGUGAUAGCGGUGGAAGAUGGACUUGCGUCUGAUUAGCUAGUUGGUGAGAUAAAAGCCCACCAAGGCGACGAUCAGUAGCCGGCUUGAGAGAGGGCCCAGACACAUUGGGACUGCGGCAGGACCCAGACUCCGGCGAGAGGCAGCAGUGGGGAAUUGUACAGAAGGGGGGGUGACCAGGUGCAGCGACGCGGAGUGAUUUGGAAGGCGUUCAGGUUGUAUAAGUCUUUUGUAUAGGAAGAAAAUGACAGUACUAUACGAAUAAGGUCCGGCUAAUUACGUG
Molecule: ribosomal RNA, 477 nt
Filed under: uncultured bacterium
Lineage: Bacteria
Description: partial 16S ribosomal RNA
Rfam family: Bacterial small subunit ribosomal RNA
Source: RNAcentral